AGUCGUAACAAGGUUUCCGUAGGUGAACCUGCGGAAGGAUCAUUACCGAGUGCGGGCUGCCUCCGGGCGCCCAACCUCCCACCCGUGACUACCUAACACUGUUGCUUCGGCGGGGAGCCCUCUCGGGGGCGAGCCGCCGGGGACUACUGAACUUCAUGCCUGAGAGUGAUGCAGUCUGAGUCUGAAUAUAAAAUCAGUCAAAACUUUCAACAAUGGAUCUCUUGGUUCCGGCAUCGAUGAAGAACGCAGCGAACUGCGAUAAGUAAUGUGAAUUGCAGAAUUCAGUGAAUCAUCGAGUCUUUGAACGCACAUUGCGCCCCCUGGCAUUCCGGGGGGCAUGCCUGUCCGAGCGUCAUUGCUGCCCAUCAAGCCCGGCUUGUGUGUUGGGUCGUCGUCCCCCCCGGGGGACGGGCCCGAAAGGCAGCGGCGGCACCGUGUCCGGUCCUCGAGCGUAUGGGGCUUUGUCACCCGCUCGAUUAGGGCCGGCCGGGCGCCAGCCGACGUCUCCAACCAUUUUCUUCAGGUUGACCUCGGAUCAGGUAGGGAUACCCGCUGAACUUAAGCAUAUCAAUAAGCGGAGGAA
This 583-nucleotide unclassified non-coding RNA is filed under the name Aspergillus jensenii. RNAcentral describes it as "sequence contains 18S rRNA gene, ITS1, 5.8S rRNA gene, ITS2, 28S rRNA gene". The stretch from base 202 to 355 matches the Rfam family "5.8S ribosomal RNA". The record is from RNAcentral. Lineage: Eukaryota; Fungi; Ascomycota; Eurotiomycetes; Eurotiales; Aspergillaceae.